Molecule: ribosomal RNA, 215 nt
Filed under: Anophryoides haemophila
Lineage: Eukaryota; Ciliophora; Oligohymenophorea; Philasterida; Glauconematidae
Description: partial Bacterial large subunit ribosomal RNA
Rfam family: Bacterial large subunit ribosomal RNA
Source: RNAcentral
AAAGGAGGUCCAGUUGCCUAGACAGCCAGGAUGUUGGCUUGGAAGCAGCCAUUCAUUCAAAGAGUGCGUAACAGCUCACUGGUCGAGCGACCGGGCAUCGAUAAUACGCGGGCAUCAAAUCUAGUACCGAAGCUUUGGAUGUUGCUUUAUGCAACGUGGUAGGGGAGCAUUCUCCUUGCGGUGAAGCCGCCUCGUCAGGGGUGGUGUAGCGUGGA